AACUCUCCGCAUGCGCCAAUCCCGCUGUCUCAAACCAAACCCUAGAGUUUUUUUCUGAAAAAUCCACAAUCCUUCCCCUCCGUGGCUGGAAUUCACUCGUCUCUCUCUGAGGGGAAAGAAGUAACAAACAAUAUUUCUUACAAUUAUGAAUAAAGUCCAGUCAAAAUUCACCCGUCCAAAGGGAAUGGAUCAUGAGUCAAGUUCUAACUUAUAUGUUGCCAAUUGUGGUCCAGCUGUGGGCAUAUCUUUUGAUAAUAUUGAAUCAGUUUUUAGCACCUUUGGGAAGGUUAUAGGUGUCCAUGCUGCUGAUGAAACUGGUACUCGUGUGAUUGUUUGCUUUCAUGAAGUAAGUGCUGCUCAAGCUGCCUUUAAAGCUUUAAAUGGCUAUUCUUGCCCCGACCUCGGUGGGCGAACCUUGUGUAUACGUUAUUCAGUACCGCAGCCACCUCCGAAGAUUCUGGGUGGUGAUUCACUUCCCGUAUGUUUAUCGGCAUCAGAGCUGGCAAUUCCAGGAAUUUAUCUGGUGCAUGAAUUCAUCACUCUGAAGGAGGAGAAGGAACUUCUUGCAGAAGUGGAUGCUAGGCCAUGGAAAAGACUGUCAAAACGCAAAGUUCAGCAUUAUGGUUAUGAGUUUUUAUAUGAAACGAGAAAUGUUGAUUCGAAGCAGUUUCUAGGUGAACUUCCAUCCUUUGUUUCUCACAUACUCAAGAAGAUCAUGUCAUUUCCUGGCCUUGAUGAUGAUAGAAGCAAACAAGUGGAUCAACUGACGGUUAAUGAAUAUCCUUCUGGUGUGGGCUUAUCUCCACAUAUAGACACUCAUUCAGCAUUUGAUGAAUUGAUUUUCAGUCUUUCAUUAGCGGGUCCAUGCAUUAUGGAAUUCAGGAGAUAUCCUCAAGGCACGUUUACCGCUAUUGGGAAUAACCCUCAACAAUUAUCAAAUUUUACAAGGAAAGCUAUUUUCCUUCCUCCUAGAUCCAUGCUUUUGAUUUCUGGAGAAGGGCGAUAUGCUUGGCAUCAUUAUAUUCCCCAUCAUAAGGUUGAUACGGUUGGGGGACAUGUUGUCAGAAGAAGCUCAAGGAGGGUUUCUUUUACUUUUCGCAAGAGCUCAUGAAGAGGCAGUCUCAACCUGUUCUGCAGUAAAUCAUUGGAACGGCCUAAUCUACAAGUAGGCUAUAACAGCCUAAUCUUAGUAGGCUGCGACUUUUGUGCAUCUCUUUCAGGCUGGUGAGGAAAGGACCUUGCUGCUGUGAAUAUAAGCAAUAUUGUGAUUCUCAAAAGAAUGCUAUUAGAGCAAUGUUCGCUACCGAAAACACCAAGCAACGCCGAGCUGGUCAUAUCAUCACGUGUAACACGUGACAAGCGUUUAGGCUGACAGAUACUCAUGUUUAGCAUGGAUAAAGUCAGUUGAUGUUCCUUCUAAAAUGUGAUAGAAACUGAUGAGUAGCAGUUGAUCGAAACUCAUGUUGUCGCUUCUAGCAGGUGACAAGCAUUUAGGCUAACUCUCACCAAGAGUUGAGAGUAAUAGAAUAGAAGUCAAUUUUGUGGAGGCAUGUGGCGGCUAAUUUGACAAUAUUGCUUUUGUUUGCAUGAGGCAAGAUUUGUCAACUUGUGGUUUUAGUUAGUCUUUAUCUUGGUGAGAGAUGCAACAUCAGAACAGCCAAUGUGCUGGAUUACUGCAGCAUUCUGAUAGACAGCUUAGUUUGCUGCAUUAUUGAUUCUAAUCAUUGGAUACAUGCCCCUAUAAAGCCUGCAUCAUCAUAUCUUAGUUUAUGGUGCUGUGAAGAACAAUUUUGUAGCUGCAAUCACUUAUAUUUCUGGUAGUCCUGUAAUACUUCUACAGAACAUUGUUUUAGAUCCACUUGGUUUCUUUA
Molecule: RNA transcript, 1871 nt
Organism: Elaeis guineensis (African oil palm)
Lineage: Eukaryota; Viridiplantae; Streptophyta; Magnoliopsida; Arecales; Arecaceae
Gene name: alkylated DNA repair protein ALKBH8 homolog
Source: RefSeq, a predicted model, not a curated record